Molecule: transfer RNA, 76 nt
Filed under: Flavobacteriaceae bacterium
Lineage: Bacteria; Pseudomonadati; Bacteroidota; Flavobacteriia; Flavobacteriales; Flavobacteriaceae
Description: tRNA-Gly
Rfam family: tRNA
About the family: Transfer RNA (tRNA) molecules are approximately 80 nucleotides in length. Their secondary structure includes four short double-helical elements and three loops (D, anti-codon, and T loops).
Source: RNAcentral
GCGGGAGUAGCUCAAUUUGUAGAGUAUCAGCCUUCCAGGCUGAAGGUUAUCAGUUCAAGUCUGGUCUCCCGCUCUA